RNAcentral lists this ribosomal RNA (253 nucleotides) under uncultured bacterium. Its description in RNAcentral is "partial 16S ribosomal RNA". It matches the Rfam family "Bacterial small subunit ribosomal RNA", at positions 524 to 776 of the family's 1533-position model. The record is from RNAcentral.
UACGAAGGGGGCUAGCGUUGCUCGGAAUCACUGGGCGUAAAGGGUGCGUAGGCGGGUCUUUAAGUCAGGGGUGAAAUCCUGGAGCUCAACUCCAGAACUGCCUUUGAUACUGAAGAUCUUGAGUUCGGGAGAGGUGAGUGGAACUGCGAGUGUAGAGGUGAAAUUCGUAGAUAUUGGGAAGAACACCGGUGGCGAAGGCGGCUCACUGGCUCGUAACUGACGCUCAGGCACGACAGCGUGGGGAUCAAACAGG